AGAGGGUGCAAGCGUUAUCCGGAUUCACUGGGUUAAAGGGUGCGUAGGUGGGCAGGUAAGUCAGUGGUGAAAUCAUCCGGGCUUAACCCGGAAACUGACCAUUGAUACUAUCAAGUCUUGAAUACCGUUGGAGGUAAAGCGGAAUAAUGUCAUGUAGCGGUGAAAUGCUUAGAUAUGACAUAGAACACCAAAUUGCGAAGGCAGCUUACGUACCCGAAAUAUUGACACUGAGGCACGAAA
This 240-nucleotide ribosomal RNA is filed under the name uncultured bacterium. RNAcentral describes it as "partial 16S ribosomal RNA". It matches the Rfam family "Bacterial small subunit ribosomal RNA", at positions 527 to 758 of the family's 1533-position model. The record is from RNAcentral.